This 247-nucleotide ribosomal RNA is filed under the name uncultured bacterium. RNAcentral describes it as "partial 16S ribosomal RNA". It matches the Rfam family "Bacterial small subunit ribosomal RNA", at positions 15 to 254 of the family's 1533-position model. The record is from RNAcentral.
GAUCCUGGCUCAGGAUAAACGCUAGCGGCAGGCCUAACACAUGCAAGUCGAGGGGCAGCAGGGAAGUAGCUUGCUACUUCUGCUGGCGACCGGCGCACGGGUGCGUAACGCGUAUGCAACCUACCUUUAACAGGGGGAUAAUCCGAAGAAAUUUGGUCUAAUACCCCAUAAUAUUGAUUAAGGCAUCUUGAUCAGUUGAAAGUUCCGACGGUUAAAGAUGGGCAUGCGUUGUAUUAGCUAGUUGGUG